This 1092-nucleotide long non-coding RNA is filed under the name Apteryx haastii (Great spotted kiwi). RNAcentral's name for it is "lncRNA (ENSAHAG00000004404.1)". The record is from RNAcentral. Lineage: Eukaryota; Metazoa; Chordata; Aves; Apterygiformes; Apterygidae.
AUGGGAGUUCAGCAAAGCAACAGUUCCCAUUUGGGAAAAUUUCAGUGGCAAUGCAGAGCAUCUUCAACACUCAAAAACCUACCACCCCCUCUCCCUCAGAGAAGGAAAACUGCUGGUGAAAAAGGAAAAAGCGGGGUAGGGAAGAGGUCAGCAAGGCAGAAACCCUUCCCGAGGAGGCACGUCUCUGUGGGGUGGGAGAAACCUCUGGGCAGAGUCGGAGACCCCAAAAGGGGCUUUGCACCGCAGCUGCCUGCGGGGCUCUCGGCCAGCAUCGCCUCCGUGCCAGCUCCAUUCCUGGGUGUGGGGAUCGGGGCUCCAGGGGUCACGGGCGCAACGGGGACCCUGGGGGAAAGCAGGGGCCGUGCAACCCUUCCCUGUUAUGGGAGCGCAUGGAUUCACGCGUGUUCACACGCGUGGCAGCCCAGGCUGGGCUUGGGAAGGAGAGGCCGGUCGGCGAUGCCCACAGGGACACGUAUGCUAGCGUAUGUGCCUGCAGGCGCCGGGGAGCGCGGCGCUGGCGCGUGGGCGCGCGCGGAGGCGGCGGGCGGGCGAGCCAGCCGUGCACGUGUGUGCGCGCUCGUGCCCGAGCCUCGGGCUUCCCGCGUGGCGGGCGCCCACCUGCGAGGCGCUUUCUCUUGCCUCCCUCGGCAGGCGCUUGCGAGCCGGCUCCUCGCUGCGGGCGCUGACAAAGCCCGUCAGUCCGGAGCCGCUGCUGGCGGCAAGCAGCGCGUGAGCUGCAGCGUCUCCCCGUGCCACCCGGGAACUGCGGCGGAGGGGCAGCACGGCCGCAGAAAAGUGCUUCCUGCCACAACGGGCACCACCUGGGGAGGUACCAGGGUGGAGAUGACGCGGGGCAUCUGGGGCAGCGAACAAAGCGCCCCGUCACGUGGGAUUUGGAUGAGAAGAGAGGGGACCCCAAGGGAGAAGCAGGGAGAGGGGGCAUUUUGGGGACAGCGCAUACUCCCGGGACAUAGGUCACACAAAAGCAUCACCUUCACCCAAAACCAGGUGCCGGCAGGCCUGGCUUGCUUGCCCAAGGAGACAAAUUGUCCUCCACCAUCCUCCACCAGUGAUGGUCUCCACCAUCAUUGA